RNAcentral lists this ribosomal RNA (377 nucleotides) under uncultured bacterium. RNAcentral describes it as "bacterial SSU rRNA". It matches the Rfam family "Bacterial small subunit ribosomal RNA", at positions 521 to 896 of the family's 1533-position model. The record is from RNAcentral.
UAAUACAGAGGGUGCAAACGUUGUUCGGAAUCACUGGGCAUAAAGCGUAUGUAGGCGGCUCCGUAAGUGUCGGGUGAAAUCCCACGGCCUACCCGUGGAACUGUUCGGCAUACUGCGGAGCUAGAGGAUGGUAGAGGAGAGCGGAACUCUUGGUGGAGCGGUGAAAUGCGUAGAUAUCAAGAGGAACACCGGUGGCGAAGGCGGCUCUCUGGUCCAUUACUGACGCUGAGGUACGAAAGCUAGGGGAGCAAACGGGAUUAGAUACCCCGGUAGUCCUAGCUGUAAACGAUGGGCACUAACUAGAAGUCUCUCCUGUGAGGUUUCUGGUGAAGCAAAUGUGAUAAGUGCCCCGCCUGGGAAGUACGGUCGCAAGGCUA